This is a long non-coding RNA of Cuculus canorus (common cuckoo), 5261 nucleotides long. RefSeq lists it as uncharacterized. The record is from RefSeq and is a predicted model, not a curated record. The transcript is spliced from 3 exons. Lineage: Eukaryota; Metazoa; Chordata; Aves; Cuculiformes; Cuculidae.
CCGUGUCCCCUGUCCCCUGUCCCGUGUCCCCAUGCUCCUAUCCCGUGUCCCGUGUCCCCGCAGCCCCGGUCGCUGCCGGCAGCGGGCGGUGUCGGGCGGCGCUGCGGUGGCCGCGGCUGCGGGCUGGGCAGGAUCCCGAGCCCCGGUGCCCCGGGUGGCCCUUGUCCGAGCUCCGCCGAGCCCCAUUGAGGCUCAGCCCGCCCCGAGCCGAGGGGGGAGCCCGAGCAUCGGUGCUGCGGGCGGUCCGAGGCGCACGAUCCCCCCGGAGCUGGCACGGUUCGGCUCUGGAGCGGGGACAGCGGCUGUGGGGCUGCAGGUGCAGGAUUUUGGGGUCUGGCUGCUGCUUCGCUGCACGGAGACCUGACCCUGCUCCGCUCUGACCUCCUGAGGUGGGCACUGAGCUGGCAGGAGGUGAGCAGCCAAGCUCCCCAGUUGGAAAUGUGGUGAACAAAGUACCCCAACAGCCUCCUGCACUUGGGCUUUGCAGUGGCGAUGUGUCCAGAAGAGGCUAUGAAGAUGAUGCGAGGGCUGGAGCACCUCUGCUAUGAGGGCAGGCUGAGAGAGCUGAGGUUCAGCCGGGGGGAGUCUCCGGGGAGACCUCAGAGCAGCUUCCAGUAAUGAAAGAGGCUACACGAAAGCUGUGUGGGGGCUUUUUACAAGCACAUGGAGUGAUAGGACAAGGGGGAAUGGCUUUAAAUUGGAGGGGGAAAGAUUUAGAUUAGACAUUAGGGAGAAAUUCUUCACUGAGGAUGGUGAGGCACUGGCACAGGUUGCCCAGGAAAGUUGUGGCUGCCCCAUCCCUAGAGGUGCUCAAGGCCAAGUUGAAUGGGACUUUCAGCAACCUGACCCAGAGGGAGGUGUCUGUGCCCAUGGCAGGGGGGGUUGGAACUGCAUGAUCUUUAAGGUCCCUUCCAACCCAAACCAUUCUAUGAUUCUAUGAUGAGCUUUCAAUCUAGACACCAGCUUGCAAAAACAUGCUGCUGGUCUUAUAGGUGUAAGAAUGUGGGCUGCUUUGCCAUUCCUGCACUCAAGAGCAAAGACCAGGCUGCUUCCUGUUCAUCCUCCUCCAGCUGCGUGACAGCACUGUGUUCUCCUGAACAGCAAGUGCCAGGGAGCUCUGGGAUGAGUUAGCCCACAUAAUGCAAUUUAAAGUAGAAGUUAAAUAUGGAGGCUGGUGCCAAAAAAGCCGGAAACUUGCCCAAGGCUGUGCCAGGUCUGUGACAGGAUGCUCUGCUCUGCUCCUCUCCUCUCUCUUGGGGAAGUUCACGUGGGCUCAGAGUGAUGUGCACCCACACUCAGGUACCUUGGCUGAGUGCGUAUUGCUCUCUUCCUUCUUGCUGGAGCUGUGAACAGGCUUUUGGAGCCGAUUUUUACCUCCUGGUGUGAACAUUGCCUUUUCACAAGAGCCACAGUGAACAGAAGCUCUGGACCCUUUGAGGUGGAGCUGCUUUCAGCAAACAUCCUGCACUGGAUUUUAGCGACUGCCUAAGGAGCUGCUUUCCACUUAGUCUCAGACUGAGCCCUUAGGAACUUUGCUUUAGAACGGGCAGGCACUUGCCCUCUGCACAGCGGUGCCUGCCUCGCUGUGUCCCCACAUCACAGUGAGCUGCUCCCAAGGGCUGGCAGCUCUCCUGAGAGCAUGGUCCAACCUGCCCGUGCUGCAGUGAGCUCAGCUCCUCAGGGUGUCUGACCCAGGCAGUGGUAGGAGACCCCAUCUGUCCUACACAACAAUUAGCAUCUUUGCUACAACGAGGUGUUUUACCUGCCCACGGGAAGCUGCCACGUUGGCUUUAACCUCUAGCCCUGAACUGAAAGUCCUUGCGUAGGAGGGCUUUGUGGGUGGAUGGGAGGACAGAUGAGGUCAGCCCAUGCAUGGCCCUGAGUUACCUCUGCUCCGGAGAGGCCGCUUGUCCUUGGUGUAAGCUGGAACCCUGCUAACGUGACCAUUGAGAUUAUUUUCUUUUCGAAUACAGAAACACGUAGCAACACUUGGCCAGUGCUGGCUUUCUAACAGCGUGUGUGUUGUUCUUUGGUGGUUGCAGAGGUGGCAGGUCCAAAUGCAAGUUGCAUGGUGCAAUGGACUGUUUUGUAGGGCUGGCAGUGGAACGGAAAUGUGAAAUGGCUAAGUGGGAGCUGACUGAGAUGAAGGAUGAGAUUCAGAGGAUAAAGGAAGGCUUGGAGCAGACCUUGCAGCAUCUUGAGGAGAAGCUGCAGAAUGCCAUGGCAACAAACACGUCUCUGAUGAAAGACAUCUCCCAGAGGAAGAAGCUGCUGAAGAGAACUGAAAGAUAAACUGCUCUGGUGGAGAAGGAGCAGACUGAUGGCUUUUCCAGUUUCUGCUUUCAUCCCUGCGUACAUCCAGCUAUUCUGCCUCAUCAGUGUGAGAAUAUGAGAACUCCUCAAAUUUGCAUGUGUAACAUAUCCCUGAUCCCUGCGGGAACUGAGCUGUUCUACCACCUGCAGAGCUGCGGGAUGCCUGAAGACAUCAAUGACUGGUAGAGCUUCCAAUGACUACUGCAAUAGUUUGCACUGCAGAACAGGGUCAUACUUAAUGGCUUCUGAGAGAAAGCCGGCCAGGGCCAAAGUGUAGUGUACAGAUACGUCUACGAACAAUUCUGUAGCCUGGCACGGCCUAUUUAUAUUUGCUGAAUUGCCUCAGUGCCACUUUCCUUCAGGCAUGCUUACCUUUUCUCUGCCCCCACUCUGUUUCCUAGCCACUGUUUCCUAGGUCCUGGGAAACUAAAAAUUUUCUUCAAAGGUCAGCUAAUGGUCCCUCCUCUAACCAUUGACAUUUCUAGCUUAAUCCAAAGCUUACUUUGAACCCAGCCUAGUAGAUUGUCAGCGUGGGCAGAAGGUCAAGAACUGCAAGAACUCAAGCUACUAAUGCAGUGGCGACCUGGCCACUCAGCACUGCUGAUACAAGCAUGCUGGAGUGCUAAUCUAAUCAGCUUGUGAAGCUGGACUGUUAUUUUGCAAAGUGAUUCCUUUCACUAGGAACUCACAUCAGUAUUUAAAACCUUUUAACUAAGUCGCAACUCCAAACCUUUUUUAUUUUGGUCUAGAUGCUGGUCUCAACACAUGGCACCCAGCUUGGGUUGGGAUGUGUAGGGAAGUAGAGCGGAUCUCCAAAUCUUAGCUGCUUCAAAAAAGCUGAGUUUAUGUGACUGAGAACUCACUGCCAUGAUGAAGAUGGCCACUAUUGUGACCUACCUCACAGAAACACACCGAGAGAAGGAACACAGCCAGCAGGGUUGUAGUAAGGGCUUGUCAACCUGUUUGUUUACAGAGCACAGAAAAAUGGGAAGAAGCUUGAUAAAUUGUUCCCGGUGCAUUGUUAGUAAUAAACAUCAUGAUUAAUUGCACACAGCAAGAUAAUGUGUUUUAUACCACUCAGCCCACCAAAGCCAAAGGAGAUGCUCCAAAAGCACACACAAAUGAGUGAGGGGAGCAUCUUGUACAACAGCUCAAGUGACUUAUGGUAACAUGGUUCAUUUCUAAGACCCCGGCACUGAGUGAUGGAGCUAGGGAGGAGGCUGCUCUGAACUGCUGCCUGAAAUGAAGUCUAAGCCUUCAGACACUGCCCAGAUCUGCAUACUUUGAUACAAGGUCUGUUUUAACCCCUCCUUUGCAUCUUCUACUCUGCAUACAUCAGAAAUCUAUUCAUACAGGAGUAGAACUUUAAAAAUGGCCUUCUUAAGUCAGACUCUCUGACCACACUGAGGGCACUGAAAAUAAGCAACUUGCUUCUGGUUUUCAUGAGUGCUGAGUGCUAUCAGAUGCCAUAAAAAUAUAUAAGGCCAUUUACUUGGCUCCCAAUGUGUUGGCCUAAGGAGCCUGACUUAAUGAUUUUAUAGUUUUAUGAUUUUAUGAACUACUUUUUUUAAGCUCAGCAAAAGCUCUUAUCACCAAAAGAUUGACACAAGGGUCCUUCAAAAAUGUUUGUGAUUUUGUAGGGUGUGAGUCAUCAUCGGAGUGUCACAGUGCUGCCAGUCCUGACCUUUUCACUUAAGAGUCUUGGUAUUUACACUGCUGCCUUCUCAAGCAGUAAAACUGCAGCAAUCCUGACUUGUGUACCCACUCGACGGCUUUCACUGGGUGACAGGUGACCAUGUCUCUCUCCGAGAGGCUUUUGGGCUAAAACACAUGAUUAUUCUUUACCUUUCUGAAUAUGCAUGUGAUGAUGAACAACCUCCCAGAGGCACUGAUGGAAAGAAACCUAUUCUGGCUAUUUAUAGAUAUAAAUAAGAUCCAAUUUCCAGCUGAAAUAGUAAGCAGUGGUUUGGAAUCUGCCUUCUUCCUUGACAGCUCCUGGAGAUGCUCACAGUCUGGGUUUCCUGGACCUUCCGAAGAUUUUGGGGUGAAGGAGCAGAGCUGGUGAUGUAAAAUAUAUUCCCUGAUGGGGAAUACCAACUCCUGCCCUCUGUUUCCUGCAGUCUCCCCUCUUCGAUCCCUCCUUAUAGAAUGGACAAGAUUUAGAUUUGCUGAGGCUACAGUGCUGUUUCUGAAGAGAUUGUUCCCAGCAAUACAAACCACAUGCUUACAGAAACUUUGACGCUUUUAAAUUAACGAAGUUAUUUCAUUUCUGUCAGCACCUUGCUCUUCCUUUGAGACUAUGCUAAAAUGUAAAGCUUGCUCAUUAAUUACUUCAAAUGUCAAGGUUUAAUUACAAUGCCUCCAAAUUAAAUUUCAAGCCAGUCAGAUUUCAGAGCCAUACAGGAGACAGACAGACAUACUCAUAGCAAGUUAAUCCUUCAAAAAAGAUGAUGAUGAUGAUUAAUGUAAUUGAUUUCCUGGCAGCAGUAUUUCGUCUUUCAGACACAGAGCACAUUAACUGGAGUGUGAAGAAGCCAGUGUUGUACCUGUCUAGCCGUCUGUGGGCUGGGGUAUUCCACUUGGAUCACAACUGCAAAAGUGAGUCUGUGUUCCUGCAAGAAGAGGAGGAGUAAAAUCAACCCUCAUUGCAUAGCUCCAGUGAAAACACGCACCCAUCCUGUUGGAUGGAUGUCCGUCCCUGUGGGUGAGGUAAAGGUCCAUUGAAAAUCAAACCGCAUGGGGGCUGGUUGUCACAGCAGAGCUGAAAAUUUUCCUGUAGGCACAUUGGAUUCCUGGACACCCUCGGAGCCAGAGAUGAAGGCAACACCUGCGGUUUGUUAGAAUCAUUCUAAUGUGAAUGUCAGUGUUCCUAUAGCCAUAUCCCCUAUUUUUUCCAGAUUCAGAAUUUUGAGACCAUGACCUCAAACACAAGAUACCAGCUACAGUGU